UCCAUAAAUCUGCAAAUCUGAUA
Molecule: non-coding RNA, 23 nt
Filed under: Arabidopsis thaliana (thale cress)
Lineage: Eukaryota; Viridiplantae; Streptophyta; Magnoliopsida; Brassicales; Brassicaceae
Source: RNAcentral